AGAGUUUGAUCCUGGCUCAGAGUUAACGCUGGCAUCGUGCAUAACACAUGCAAGUCGAACGGGACUUAGUUUGUAGCUUGCUAGUAGACUAAGUUUAGUGGCAGACGGGUGAGUAAUGUAUAAGAAACCUACCUCUGAGUGGGGAAUAACAGUCCGAAAGGAUUGCUAAUACCCCAUAACAUAAUGAAAAGGCAUCUUUUUUAUUAUCAAAGAUUUUAUCGCUUGGAGAUGGUCUUAUAUUCUAUCAGCUAGUUGGCAGUGUAACGGACUACCAAGGCGACGACGGAUAGCCGGCCUGAAAGGGCGACCGGCCACAAGGGCACUGAGACACGGGCCCUACUCCUACGGGAGGCAGCAGUGGGGAAUUUUGGACAAUGGGCGAAAAAGCCUGAUCCAGCAACGAUGCGUGGAGGAUGAAGGUUCUCGGAUUGUAAACUCCUUUUGUAGGGGAAGAAAAAAUGACGGUACCUUACGAAUAAGCCACGGCUAACUACGUGCCAGCCGCCGC
RNAcentral lists this ribosomal RNA (508 nucleotides) under uncultured bacterium. RNAcentral describes it as "bacterial SSU rRNA". It matches the Rfam family "Bacterial small subunit ribosomal RNA", at positions 8 to 518 of the family's 1533-position model. The record is from RNAcentral.